UACGUAGGUGGCGAGCGUUGUCCGGAUUUACUGGGCGUAAAGGGCGUGCAGGCGGUUUGUUAAGUGCAGAGUGAAAGCUCCCGGCUCAACUGGGAGAGGUCUUUGCAUACUGGCAAACUCGAGGGAGGCAGAGGAAAGUGGAAUUCCCGGUGUAGUGGUGAUAUGCGUAGAUAUCGGGAGGAACACCUGUGGCGAAGGCGACUACCUGGCCUGUUCUUGACGCUGAGGCGCGAAAGCUAGGGGAGCAAACGGG
This 253-nucleotide ribosomal RNA is filed under the name uncultured bacterium. RNAcentral's name for it is "partial 16S ribosomal RNA". It matches the Rfam family "Bacterial small subunit ribosomal RNA", at positions 524 to 776 of the family's 1533-position model. The record is from RNAcentral.